This is an RNA transcript of Solenopsis invicta (red fire ant), 2244 nucleotides long. It is a transcript of the gene named dehydrodolichyl diphosphate synthase complex subunit DHDDS, with no coding region annotated. The transcript is spliced from 7 exons. The record is from RefSeq and is a predicted model, not a curated record. Lineage: Eukaryota; Metazoa; Arthropoda; Insecta; Hymenoptera; Formicidae.
UUCAACUAUAUGUUAUCUGGAUAAGAGAAGACAAUAGUGACGUUAAUUAUUUUUGUUAAUUAUAUAUUUGCAAAACUACAUCUAAUAGAAACGAAAUUUUCGAGUGGUUGAAAAGGAUUUGAAAUACUUAUUAAUAUCAACCAUCGGCAUUGACGUCGAAUAGAUGUGCACUCAUGUAGUCGGCGCCCUUGGAUGAAAAUAAAAGUAAAUUUUAAUCAGUCAACUGACCACGGUCAACCUGUUAUAUAACACGGACUCAAGGACACGCAGACUUCCAUUGAUAACGUGCUCUGCCGGAAUCCUGCUGACACGAAAAGAUCUAUUUCAUGGAAGUGAUUAUCGUGCUUGCCCCCGAGGAAUUAGGGUCCGGUUGUUCCAAGGUCGCCCCAUGUCCGACGACUGUAGCCCUAUUAUCUAACUCAGAGUUCGCAACGAUCUGCGCAUUUUGGGCCGAUUCCUUAAGCGACGUCCACUUUUACCCCCGCUACCGCUCGCCACCCGAUGGUCGAGCUCGCGAUCACGCGAGCGGCGCUCUGCCUCAGGAGCAUCCGUUAAAAAUACGCUAGUAGCGUACCUUUCGAGAAAAAUUUUUUUUUUAACUUAAUUUUUAUAAUAACAAUAAUGUACGGUAAUUAGAAUUUAGACAAUAGCUUUCUACAUCACCCUUAUGCAGUACAUAUUUUAUUUUCUUUGAUUUUUUAGUGGACUAGGCCUACUUGGGAAACCACAUAAAAAAAACGCAUCAAUAAUAGUACCUCAUGUGUGAUGUGGAAAGCUAUGUACGGUAAUUAGAAUUUAGACAAUAGCUUUCCACAUUACCCUUGAGGUACUUUAGUAGAAGGGCAUAUAUUCAACAUACUUCUGAGAUGGAAACGCCCCUGAGGCCACAGCGCUCGGCGCGCGAUCGGCAGCUCGGUACGCGGGGUAUGUGAGACUCGCCGACCUAGACGUGACCGGCAUACUUACCGGCAAAACCCAACUUUUUUUUGCGUCUCAUCUCGAGACGGAUCACGGAAUCGAACUAAACAUUCACCGCGAAGCCUAACCUACCCUAACCCAACGACGAUGUUUUACAACAUAAUGACGGAUGUAACAACAACGAUAAUACAUUGUUUGGCAAUGAUAAUAUCAUUUAUUUAUCAUCAGUUUCGCAAUUUGCAGAAUAUGGGAUUUAAAUACAUUUUAGGAACAUCUUACCUCGGCCUCUCCUACUUGGUUUUGAACAUCAUAAAGACCGGAAAGGUUCCCAGGCACGUAGCGUUCAUCAUGGAUGGUAACAGACGCUACGCGCAGAAACGAAACAUGACAAAAAAGGAGGGACACUUAAAGGGGUUUGAUAAAAUGAUUGAAACGUUGAAUUGGUGCAUGGACCUUGGUAUUAAAGAAAUCACAGUUUAUGCGUUCAGCAUAGGCAACUUUAAUCGUAGCCAAGAGGAACUUGAUGGCCUCAUGGAUCUCAGUAGGCAGAAAUUUAACAACCUCUUAAAAAAUAUAUAUGUAUUUUAAAUCAAAGACAUAUUGAUGAAUGCUGGAGUGUGCUUUCGUGCGUUUGGAAAUUUGUCCUUGAUCCCAGAAGAUAUAAACCAAUUAAUGGCUCAAAUUGUAAUUGCCACUAAGGAUAAUAAUAAAGCAUUUUUAAAUUUUGCUGUCGCUUAUACGUCAAGGGAUGAACUUACUCAUGCAAUUACAGAUAUUGCAACGGCUGUAAAACAUAAUGAAAUCUUACCAGAAGAUAUUACCGAAGAGUUAAUAUCUGACUAUUUGUACACUUACCAAUCCUCAAAUCCAGAGUUAUUGAUUCGUACGUCUGGAGAAUGUCGACUUAGCGACUUUUUGAUGUGGCAGCUUUCCAACGCUUGCCUCUACUUUACUGAUACCUUAUGGCCUGAAUUCAACUUAUGGAACUUGCUCGGUGCAGUCUUUUAUUAUCAAAAAUGUUAUUAUAUGUAUUAUGUAUUUAGAAAAAACUCCCUUUUCUCGUAAAACAGCAUUUUAUAGUAUUCCAACUUUAGACAGAGUAUAUGCGAGUAACAUCCGCAAACCGACCUGUUCGAACGCAUUUUGUCCAGUUUUUUUAUGUAAAAUAGUCACAAAAAUUUCCACUUACAUACUAUAUGGAUCGCAUUUGCCCUAACAAAACUUUGCUGCCGUGACGUUCGAAUUCUAGUUGAUCAAAAAAGUUGGUCAAACAUAUCAAUCGAAAGAGGAGAUUUCAAACUUUUUUUACGUCUUGCUCCGAACCUC